Molecule: non-coding RNA, 481 nt
Organism: Camellia sinensis
Lineage: Eukaryota; Viridiplantae; Streptophyta; Magnoliopsida; Ericales; Theaceae
Source: RefSeq, a predicted model, not a curated record
GAGACACCACUUCGCAUCUCACUUGAAACGGAUGGCAGUUGUUGUUCGUGCUUUAUAGAAUUUCUUGCUUUUGUGAAGAGUUGCAAGACAUUCUCCCUGGAAUUAUUAACCAAUUGGGGCCCGAUAACUUGGACAACUUGAGGAAGCUGGCAAAGCAGUUCCAGAAGCAGGCACCUGGUGCCGGUGCUGGUGCCAGUGCAACUGCUGCGCAAGAAGAUGACGACGACCAGGUUCCGGACCUUGUGGCUGGUGAGACCUUUGAAGCAGCUGCAGAGGAGAGAAACUUAAUUUUAUUGAGACCUCGUGGCUCUUAGUUAUUACAAGGGAGGAUUAAAUAUUUAGGUUCCACAAGGGAGGAUUAAAUAUUUUUGGAUGGAUGUGUAUGGAUAACAAAUAUUAGUAGUUUUAUUUGUUGAUAGCUGCGCAUGGAUAACAAAUAGUUAUGUUUCAAAUUGUUAUGCUAGAUGGAUGUGACUUGUGA